This 66-nucleotide transfer RNA is filed under the name Ancistrocheirus sp. 2 FFA-2023. RNAcentral describes it as "tRNA-Thr". It matches the Rfam family "tRNA". Rfam says of the family: Transfer RNA (tRNA) molecules are approximately 80 nucleotides in length. The record is from RNAcentral. Lineage: Eukaryota; Metazoa; Mollusca; Cephalopoda; Oegopsida; Ancistrocheiridae.
GUUAUAAUAGUUUAAAUAUAAAACAUUGGUCUUGUAAACCAAAAUUAGAUAAUAAUCUUUAUAAUU